UUAAAGUCGUUGACAAACCAUGAUUUUUUUUAGGUGGGGGUAGCGGACAAAUUGCAACUUAAAUGCAACAUGCUAAUUCCAAAGAAGAAAGCCAAUUAUACAACUAAAACAGACAUAGCCUUUGCUUUGUGAUUGGACCAGGAACUGCGACGCAAAUCUGUUCCAUGCACUUCAACUAGCUUGUUCCCAGAUCUGCCGGCCCCUAAAUAAAUCCAGCGUGGGUCCUGCACGAUUGCAAUGAUGAAGUCAUGAGCACAAGGCUAAAAGGAAACAGGAGAUGAUCCCACGUAAACUGACUUUGGUGCAGAGCAAAAGACAGACAACAAUUCACACUGCCACUGAGUGGGGUCCGUGUCCACGCCCCCAGCUUGGAGGUCAGGAAAUGACAACUUUCCUUCUGUACGCUCUUCAAGAGGCUCUUCCAAGAAAGGGAGUGUGAAGGUGAACAAUAAACAAUAC
Molecule: long non-coding RNA, 459 nt
Organism: Syngnathus typhle (broad-nosed pipefish)
Lineage: Eukaryota; Metazoa; Chordata; Actinopteri; Syngnathiformes; Syngnathidae
Exons: 3
Source: RefSeq, a predicted model, not a curated record